Non-coding RNA from Populus trichocarpa (black cottonwood), 114 nucleotides. NCBI's taxonomy places the organism in Eukaryota, Viridiplantae, Streptophyta, Magnoliopsida, Malpighiales, Salicaceae. The record is from Rfam.
CUGUCCCCCGGAGUUUCCCUGACCACUUCACUGGGGCUAUAAUUCUACUCUUCGUGUUUAAGGGUAGAGGCAACCCUUCCUCACUGAAGUGUUUGGGGGAACUCUGGGUGGCAU